This 474-nucleotide ribosomal RNA is filed under the name uncultured organism. RNAcentral describes it as "partial 16S ribosomal RNA". It matches the Rfam family "Bacterial small subunit ribosomal RNA", at positions 332 to 797 of the family's 1533-position model. The record is from RNAcentral.
UACACUCCUACGGGAGGCAGCAGUGGGGAAUAUUGCACAAUGGGCGCAAGCCUGAUGCAGCCAUGCCGCGUGUAUGAAGAAGGCCUUCGGGUUGUAAAGUACUUUCAGCGGGGAGGAAGGCGAUAAGGUUAAUAACCUUGUCGAUUGACGUUACCCGCAGAAGAAGCACCGGCUAACUCCGUGCCAGCAGCCGCGGUAAUACGGAGGGUGCAAGCGUUAAUCGGAAUUACUGGGCGUAAAGCGCACGCAGGCGGUCUGUCAAGUCGGAUGUGAAAUCCCCAGGCUCAACCUGGGAACUGCAUUCGAAACUGGCAGGCUAGAGUCUUGUAGAGGGGGGUAGAAUUCCAGGUGUAGCGGUGAAAUGCGUAGAGAUCUGGAGGAAUACCGGUGGCGAAGGCGGCCCCCUGGACAAAGACUGACGCUCAGGUGCGAAAGCGUGGGGAGCAAACAGGAUUAGAAACCCGAGUAGUCCCA